RNAcentral lists this long non-coding RNA (394 nucleotides) under Lactuca sativa (garden lettuce). Its description in RNAcentral is "long non-coding RNA (LSAT_LNC003538)". Lineage: Eukaryota; Viridiplantae; Streptophyta; Magnoliopsida; Asterales; Asteraceae. The record is from RNAcentral.
AAACAAUUUUUCCUUGACCAAAACCUAGUAUUAAUACCACUAGAGUUUAGUUUUAACGUUAAUCGCGACUAAUUAAUAGUCUAGCUAUUAUUACUAUUAUAUAAGCGUUAAAUAACACUCAAUAUAACUCAUAAUAAUAGCCCAAAUAAUUAUUUUAAGGUCCUAAUAAUGUUACUAUAAUUAAAUAAAAGCUAUAUUAAAUAUAGUAUAGGCGUAACUCACUUACAGCGGGUUUUUAUUAAAAACCGGGCUUCGCUGGAGCAGCGUUUCCGAGCCGAAAGCUUUUCUUCUCGGAGCCGUCGGGCGCUCCGGGGCUUUCUUCUCAUGAUAGGGAGGUUCCCUAGACUUGGGAGGGGUUUAGGGAGGUUAGAGAGAAGUUAGAGAGAGAAAGAAA